RNAcentral lists this ribosomal RNA (253 nucleotides) under uncultured bacterium. RNAcentral's name for it is "partial 16S ribosomal RNA". It matches the Rfam family "Bacterial small subunit ribosomal RNA", at positions 524 to 776 of the family's 1533-position model. The record is from RNAcentral.
UACGUAGGGGGCAAGCGUUGUCCGGAUUUAUUGGGCGUAAAGAGCGUGUAGGCGGCCAGACAGGUCCGUUGUGAAAACUCGAGGCUCAACCUCGAGACGUCGACGGAAACCGUCUGGCUAGAGUCCGGAAGAGGAGUGUGGAAUUCCUGGUGUAGCGGUGAAAUGCGCAGAUAUCAGGAGGAACACCGGUGGCGAAGGCGGGUCUCUGAGCCGAUAUUGACGCUGAGGAGCGAAAGCGUGGGGAGCGAACAGG